GAGGUAAUGGCUCACCAAGCCUACGAUCAGUAGCCGGGUUGAGAGACUGAACGGCCACAUUGGGACUGAGAUACGGCCCAGACUCCUACGGGAGGCAGCAGUGGGGAAUAUUGGGCAAUGGGCGAAAGCCUGACCCAGCAACGCCGCGUGAAGGAAGAAGGCUUUCGGGUUGUAAACUUCUUUUACCAGGGACGAAGGACGUGACGGUACCUGGAGAAAAAGCUCCGGCUAACUACGUGCCAGCAGCCGCGGUAAUACGUAGGGAGCAAGCGUUGUCCGGAUUUACUGGGUGUAAAGGGCGUGUAGGCGGAGACGCAAGUCAGGAGUGAAAUCCCCGGGCUCAACCCGGGAACUGCUUUUGAAACUGCGUCCCUUGAGUAUCGGAGAGGCAGGCGGAAUUCCUAGUGUAGCGGUGAAAUGCGUAGA
Molecule: ribosomal RNA, 426 nt
Filed under: uncultured bacterium
Lineage: Bacteria
Description: bacterial SSU rRNA
Rfam family: Bacterial small subunit ribosomal RNA
Source: RNAcentral